This 327-nucleotide ribosomal RNA is filed under the name uncultured eukaryote. RNAcentral's name for it is "partial 18S ribosomal RNA". It matches the Rfam family "Eukaryotic small subunit ribosomal RNA", at positions 1470 to 1796 of the family's 1831-position model. The record is from RNAcentral.
CCCUUAGAUGUUCUGGGCCGCACGCGCGCUACACUGACGAAUGCAACGAGCAUAUAACCUUGGCCGAAAGGUCUGGGUAAUCUCCAAAUUUCGUCGUGAUGGGGAUAGAUUAUUGCAAUUAUUAAUCUUCAACGAGGAAUGCCUAGUAAGCGCAAGUCAUCAGCUUGCGUUGAUUACGUCCCUGCCCUUUGUACACACCGCCCGUCGCUCCUACCGAUUGAAUGGUCCGGUGAAGCGUUCGGACCGUGGCCUUUGGACGGUUCGCCGUCUGUUGGCUGCGGGAAGUUCGUUAAACCUUAUCAUUUAGAGGAAGGAGAANUCGUANCA